UACGGAGGGGGCAAGCGUUGUUCGGAUUUACUGGGCGUAAAGGGCGCGUAGGCGGUUUGGCAAGUCACUUGUGAAAUCUUCGGGCUUAACUCGAAGCGGCCAAGUGAUACUGCCGAACUAGAGUGCAGAAGGGGCAAUUGGAAUUCUUGGUGUAGCGGUGAAAUGCGUAGAUAUCAAGAGGAACACCUGAGGCGAAGGCGGAUUGCUGGGCUGACACUGACGCUGAGGCGCGAAAGCUAGGGUAGCAAACGGGAUUAGAAACCCUUGUAGUCC
RNAcentral lists this ribosomal RNA (273 nucleotides) under uncultured bacterium. Its description in RNAcentral is "partial 16S ribosomal RNA". It matches the Rfam family "Bacterial small subunit ribosomal RNA", at positions 524 to 796 of the family's 1533-position model. The record is from RNAcentral.